Molecule: transfer RNA, 71 nt
Filed under: Mycobacteroides abscessus
Lineage: Bacteria; Bacillati; Actinomycetota; Actinomycetes; Mycobacteriales; Mycobacteriaceae
Description: tRNA-Leu
Source: RNAcentral
UCGCAGUUCAAGCCCAGAUACCUUCCCUGACACGGAAGAGGUCACUGGUUCAAUCCCAGUAUCGCGCACCA